CAAGAAGGAGCCAGCCUAGGAAGAGGUGGGGGCUGGGGAGAAGGCUGGAGAUUGAGGAGCGGCACACGCAAGAGAAAACUCCGAGGUGGCACGGCAUGGCCAGUGGCCAAUCAGAACAGACACCAGCUGUGGACGCCCAGCACGGCAGACCGCUGCCUGCCAGCUGAACGGGAGCCCCGGCGUGCAGAAAGAGGAAGAGGGAAAGGCACAAGGCUCUGUGAGCUGAGUCAACUCCAGUUUUUAAGGAGCCUUCCUGGAAGAUGAACUCAACUACUUCCCGUACACUGCUGACCAGAAAUAGCCUGGCAACGGGAUCUGGAAGGGAAGCUGGGAAAUGUAGAUUUUUUUAGCUGGUUUAUUGCCACUGCUUCCGAAAAUCAAAGUCUACCCCCAGGUACAUAGUUGUGUAUUCUUCGUUGUGGGUUCUUCUAGUUGUGACAUGUGGGACGCCGCCUCAGCGUGGUCCGAUGAGCAGUGCCAUGUCCGCGCCCAGGAUUCGAACCAACGAAACACUGGGCCGCCUGCAGCGGAGCGCAUGAACCUAAC
Molecule: long non-coding RNA, 546 nt
Filed under: Equus caballus (horse)
Lineage: Eukaryota; Metazoa; Chordata; Mammalia; Perissodactyla; Equidae
Description: lncRNA (ENSECAG00000041200.2)
Source: RNAcentral